AGUGAACGCUGGCGGUAGGCCUAACACAUGCAAGUCGAACGGCAGCACAGUAAGAGCUUGCUCUUACGGGUGGCGAGUGGCGGACGGGUGAGGAAUACAUCGGAAUCUACUUUUUCGUGGGGGAUAACGUAGGGAAACUUACGCUAAUACCGCAUACGACCUACGGGUGAAAGCAGGGGAUCUUCGGACCUUGCGCGAUUGAAUGAGCCGAUGUCGGAUUAGCUAGUUGGCGGGGUAAAGGCCCACCAAGGCGACGAUCCGUAGCUGGUCUGAGAGGAUGAUCAGCCACACUGGAACUGAGACACGGUCCAGGCUCCUGCGGGAGGCAGCAGUGGGGAAUAUUGGACAAUGGGCGCAAGCCUGAUCCAGCCAUACCGCGUGGGUGAAGAAGGCCUUCGGGUUGUAAAGCCCUUUUGUUGGGAAAGAAAAGCAGCAGGUUAAUACCCCGCUGUUCUGACGGUACCCAAAGAAUAAGCACCGGCUAACUUCGUG
RNAcentral lists this ribosomal RNA (492 nucleotides) under uncultured bacterium. Its description in RNAcentral is "partial 16S ribosomal RNA". It matches the Rfam family "Bacterial small subunit ribosomal RNA", at positions 29 to 507 of the family's 1533-position model. The record is from RNAcentral.